AACGAACGUUAGCGGCGCGCCUAAGACAUGCAAGUCGAGCGAGAAAGGGAUUCGUCCCCGGUAAAGCGGCGCACGGGUGAGUAACACGUAGGUAAUCAACCCUCGAGUGGUGGACAACUCUCCGAAAGGAGAGCUAAUACAGCAUGACGUGGCGGUCUUCCGAGAUCGUUUCCAAAGCGGGCCUCUUCAUGAAAGCUCGCGCUCGAGGAUGAGCCGGCGGCCCAUCAGCUAGUUGGAGGGGUAACGGCCCACCAAGGCAUAGACGGGUAGCUGGUCUGAGAGGAUGAACGGCCACACUUGAACUGCGACACGGUCCAGACUCCUCCGGGAGGCAGCAGUCGGGAAUCUUCCGCAAUGGGCGAAAGCCUGACGGAGCGACGCCGCGUGAGUGAUGAAGGCCUUCGGGUUGUAAAGCUCUGUGGGGAGGGAAGAAUAAGUUCAAGCGAAUACCUUGAAUGAUGACGGUACCUCCUUAGCAAGCACCGGCUAACUCUGUGCCAGCAGCCGCCGUAA
RNAcentral lists this ribosomal RNA (513 nucleotides) under uncultured bacterium. RNAcentral's name for it is "partial 16S ribosomal RNA". It matches the Rfam family "Bacterial small subunit ribosomal RNA", at positions 29 to 523 of the family's 1533-position model. The record is from RNAcentral.